GCUUACUCUCCGCAAGUAACUUCGAUAGCGCUGGGGAGUGAGGCCUUACUCUCAGUGCAUGUAACAAAGGAUGCAAGUAAACCCUAUAACAUGGCUAACAUUUGUAAGGUGACAGUCUAUUGGACCACUGGAGUAGGCUAUCACUGAUGAUCUGUAAACUUCAGCCAGUAUUAAGAGUUUCUUCAUUGACAGGCCUUUGAGAUAACAACAUAUGUUCCGGAAGCUCAAAAUUGGAACCAGUGAAAUCUGCCCAUCUGUAGUGUCACCUGAGAAUGCUAACCAUGUCCAUCAAAACUGCAUUCUUUACUAAGAGACCCUAACAAGAUACUGGCCCCAAAACACCCCUAUAAAGAGAAAACUAUAUUGAGAUCUCCCUGAUUUGGAAACUACUGCGCAGUUCAUCUUAUGUAUUGGUCUAGUCAUCUAAACCCUCCAACAUAAAAAUGAGAACAAGGAAGAAGAAGAACAGGCCCAUUGCGUCCAGUCCUUGAUGUUGUCUUCCUAAUGAAAUUUUUGCCUAUCAGAUUCCUUCCCUGCAGAAAGAUUGUUUGCCUGAGGAUCGUGUGAUGGCCAUACUGCAGUCUUAGUAAACGUUAUUUGACAAUUAUUCAUGCUAUUAAAAGAAUUGAAUUUUGAAGUAUUUGUUUUAGCAUGAACUAAUAGUUACUAAAUGAAAAUAAAAUUAAGAAUAAUUAAAAUUGUCAUCCA
This is a long non-coding RNA of Biomphalaria glabrata, 708 nucleotides long. RefSeq lists it as uncharacterized. The transcript has 3 exons. Lineage: Eukaryota; Metazoa; Mollusca; Gastropoda; Planorbidae. The record is from RefSeq and is a predicted model, not a curated record.